CCUGGCCAACGUGCUUUGUGGAUUCACAGUGUAGCUUGAGAAAAAUGGUUUCCUUCCAAAUUCUCUACCCACACACCUUAAGAGAUUCUGAUACAUCAUAAAUAGAGGGACAUACAUCUUUACAUGAAAACGACAUGGAAGAUUUUCUGAGGGACAUGUGAAUGGUGAAUUUGCAUGAUGUGGAGACCCAAAAUGGCUGAGGACUGCUGCUCAGUGCCCCAGCUCUGUUCACUCGCCUAGAGUUUCCUGAACAAGCCCUGCUGCUUCUGUCUUCUGAGCUCUGACCCACCAAGCCAUUUCCUCUACUUGGAGUGCUUUCCUUCCCUUUCUGCUUUUCCCUUCUCAAAACCAAGCUAAAACAUUGCCUGCU
Molecule: long non-coding RNA, 370 nt
Filed under: Pan troglodytes (chimpanzee)
Lineage: Eukaryota; Metazoa; Chordata; Mammalia; Primates; Hominidae
Description: long non-coding RNA NONPTRT015495
Source: RNAcentral